GUAGGGGGCUAGCGUUGUCCGGAGUUACUGGGCGUAAAGGGUGUGUAGGCGGUUUUCUAAGUCUGGUGUGAAAUCUCCCGGCUCAACUGGGAGGGUGCGCCGAAAACUGGAAGGCUAGAGUGCGGGAUGGGUAAGUGGAAUUCCUGGUGUAGCGGUGAAAUGCGUAGAUAUCAGGAGGAACACCUGUGGUGUAGACGGCUUACUGGACCGCAACUGACGCUGAGACACGAAAGCGUGGGUAGCAAACAGGAUUAGAUACCCUGGUAGUCCACGCCCUAAACGAUGCAUAUUUGGUGUGGGCCAUUCAUUUGGUCUGUGCCGGAGCUAACGCGUUAAAUAUGCCGCCUGGGGAGUACGGUCGCAAGGCUG
This 369-nucleotide ribosomal RNA is filed under the name uncultured bacterium. RNAcentral describes it as "bacterial SSU rRNA". It matches the Rfam family "Bacterial small subunit ribosomal RNA", at positions 527 to 896 of the family's 1533-position model. The record is from RNAcentral.